AAUUAAGGUGGCUCGUGGGUACAAAAAUUUCAGCAAAAAAUUAAACCUUUAUUUUGUCAUUACAAAUUUCAUUUAUAAUACAGUUAUUACUUUAUAAUAUGGUACAAAAAUCAACCCAAAAAAUCGAUUCGGUUUGGCCUCAGAUAACUUUUAAAAUGUUUAUAUUAUUGUAAAAGCUCCAAAUUAUCUCCCUUUGGUACAAACAUGCCAAUUUUUGGCAUUAAAUUUGAAAUAUCUUUUUUAACUCAUCGGUGACCUGUAUUUUUU
This 267-nucleotide long non-coding RNA is filed under the name Mytilus galloprovincialis (Mediterranean mussel). Lineage: Eukaryota; Metazoa; Mollusca; Bivalvia; Mytilida; Mytilidae. The record is from RNAcentral.